RNAcentral lists this ribosomal RNA (811 nucleotides) under Salmonella enterica subsp. enterica serovar Indiana. Its description in RNAcentral is "partial 23S ribosomal RNA". It matches the Rfam family "Bacterial large subunit ribosomal RNA", at positions 375 to 1190 of the family's 2925-position model. Lineage: Bacteria; Pseudomonadati; Pseudomonadota; Gammaproteobacteria; Enterobacterales; Enterobacteriaceae. The record is from RNAcentral.
GUACACAAAAGCGCAUGUGCUGUGAGCUCGAUGAGUAGGGCGGGACACGUGGUAUCCUGUCUGAAUAUGGGGGGACCAUCCUCCAAGGCUAAAUACUCCUGACUGACCGAUAGUGAACCAGUACCGUGAGGGAAAGGCGAAAAGAACCCCGGCGAGGGGAGUGAAAAAGAACCUGAAACCGUGUACGUACAAGCAGUGGGAGCACCCUUCGGGGUGUGACUGCGUACCUUUUGUAUAAUGGGUCAGCGACUUAUAUUCUGUAGCAAGGUUAACCGAAUAGGGGAGCCGGAGGGAAACCGAGUCUUAAUUGGGCGUUAAGUUGCAGGGUAUAGACCCGAAACCCGGUGAUCUAGCCAUGGGCAGGUUGAAGGUUGGGUAACACUAACUGGAGGACCGAACCGACUAAUGUUGAAAAAUUAGCGGAUGACCUGUGGCUGGGGGUGAAAGGCCAAUCAAACCGGGAGAUAGCUGGUUCUCCCCGAAAGCUAUUUAGGUAGCGCCUCGUGAAUUCAUCUCCGGGGGUAGAGCACUGUUUCGGCUAGGGGGCCAUCCCGGCUUACCAACCCGAUGCAAACUGCGAAUACCGGAGAAUGUUAUCACGGGAGACACACGGCGGGUGCUAACGUCCGUCGUGAAGAGGGAAACAACCCAGACCGCCAGCUAAGGUCCCAAAGUCAUGGUUAAGUGGGAAACGAUGUGGGAAGGCCCAGACAGCCAGGAUGUUGGCUUAGAAGCAGCCAUCAUUUAAAGAAAGCGUAAUAGCUCACUGGUCGAGUCGGCCUGCGCGGAAGAUGUAACGGGGCUAAACCAU